This 1310-nucleotide long non-coding RNA is filed under the name Sus scrofa (pig). Its description in RNAcentral is "lncRNA (ENSSSCG00015067710.1)". The record is from RNAcentral. Lineage: Eukaryota; Metazoa; Chordata; Mammalia; Artiodactyla; Suidae.
AUUUUAUAUGAUUUUUUAAAUGAUUUUCUUAAAAACGUCAUAUAGUUGGAUGUUACUUUAUAGCUAACCUGACGAUCUCUGCCUUUUAAUUGGGAUAUUUAGACCACAUACAUUUAAUAUGAUUAUUGAUAGUGGGUUUAAACCUACCAACUUACUUGUUUUUAGUUAGUCCCAUUUGUUCUUUGUUCCCAGGCUAGGGGUCGAAUUGGAGCUGUAGCUGCUGGUCCACGCCACAGCCACAGCCACAGCCACACCGGAUCCUUAAUUCACUGAGCGAGGCCAGGGAUCAAACCUGCAACCUCAUGGUUCCUAGUCAGAUUGGUUUCUGCUGCACCACAAUGGGCUCUCCUUAAGUACUCUUAACAGUGCUCACUGUGCAUAGAAACCAUGGUUGUAUUGCUGUACUACUUCACGUGUGUCAACAAAAUCUCAGGCCAAGGGCCAGGCAAAAGUUUGGUUGCAGCAGUGAACUCAGGUUUACCUGACAAAAGAAUUGUUUUCCCAUCCAAGGAGUCAAUAUAGGAUAAAGAUGUGGGCUCUAGAGCGAGGCUUUGUUUGUGUGCUGGCUCUUCCAUGUGUCAUCUUGAGUAAAUUAUAUACCCUUCUUGUGCCUCGGAUUCGUCAUCUUCAGUAGCAGUAACUACCUCACAAAGGUUGAGGGAAUUAAAUAGCGUAGGCAUAGUGCUUACAGCAGUGUCUGACCAUAUCAUAAGCUCUGAAAAAUGUUAAUUAUAACCAAAGAAUUGACCACAUAGCCAUUUUAUAAGAUUAAGCUUUUGGUUUCAGGCAUAAGAGCACAUUUGAAUUGCUUAGUUUGAGUUAUCUGAUCUAUGGAUGUCUUCCUUUGGCGCAAAUGUUGGAAGUUGUUAAUUUGUAUGCUCACUGGUUUAUAAAAGGGAAACAGUUGAGAUAUAACAUCAUUCCACCUGCAAAAGUUUAAAAAUUCAACUUUUUUCUGUCAGUUAUUUUUUAAAAUUCAAUAACUAGUGUUUAAGUUAUUUAGUUUUUAUUAUAUCAGUUCUGUAAUCUUGUGGUUACUACAGAGAAUUCCCAGUAAUGUGUAAAAUCAGGAACAAGGUAAAACAGGACAGUUAAAAAUACAGUGUUGAAAAGAAACAUGGAUAGAUAUAGCAGACACCCUAGAUAAGAUCAGUAUUAGUGGAAAACAGAGCAUGGCUGUGUUUCUUGACAAAUGUGUGAGAAGAGUGUUGAGUUGUAAUCUUGUUUGGGUUUAACAGCAAGCAGACAAGUUUUUCCUUAGUACCGUCAUAUGAAAUACUGGGUGAUAUGGGGAAUCCAAUGGGAGUUUU